AGUAACACGUAGUCAACCUACCCUAUGGACGAGAAUAAUCUCGGGAAACUGAGCAUAAUUCUCGAUAGAUCAUAAUGCCUGGAAUGGUUUAUGGUUAAAAUGAUUCGUCGCCAUAGGAUGGGACUGCGGCCUAUCAGCUUGUUGGUGAGGUAAUGGCCCACCAAGGCGAUUACAGGUACGGGCUCUGAGAGGAGAAGCCCGGAGAUGGGUACUGAGACAAGGGCCCAGGCCCUAUGGGGCGCAGCAGGCGAGAAAACUUUGCAAUGUGCGAAAGCACGACAAGGUUAAUCCGAGUGAUUUCUGCUAAAGAAAUCUUUUGUUAGUCAUAAAACCACUGAUGAAUAAGGGGUGGGCAAGUUCUGGUGUCAGCCGCCGCGGUAAAACCAGCACCUCAAGUGGUCAGGAUGAUUAUUGGGCCUAAAGCAUCUGUAGCCGGCUCUGUUAGUUUUCGGUUAAAUCCAUGUGCUUAACACAUGGGCUGCCGAAAAUACUGCAGUGCUAGGGUAGCCGGAGAGGUAGACGGUACUCAGUAGGAAGGGGUAAAAUCCUUUGAUCUAUUGAUGACCACCUGUGGCGAAGGCGGUCUACCAGAACACGUUCGACGGUGAGGGAUGAAAGCUGGGGGAGCAAACCGGAUUAGAUACCCGGGUAGUCCCAGCUGUAAACGAUGCAGACUCGAUGAUGCAUUGGCAUAUAGCCAGUGCAGUGUCGCAGGGAAGCCGUUAAGUCUGCCGCCUGGGAAGUACGUACGCAAGUAUGAAACUUAAAGGAAUUGGCGGGGGAGCACCACAAGGGGUGAAGCCUGCGGUUCAAUUGGAGUCAACGCCAGAAAUCUUACCCGGAGAGACAGCAGAAUGAAGGUCAAGCUGAAGACUUUACCAGACAAGCUGAGAAGUGGUGCAUGGCCGUCGCCGGCUCGUGCCGUGAGAUGUCCUGUUAAGUCAGGUAACGAGCGAGAUCCCUGCCUCUAGUUGCCACCAUUACUCUCAGGAGUAGUGGGGCGAAUUAGCGGGACUGCCGCAGUUAAUGCGGAGGAAGGAGGGGGCCACGGCAGGUCAGUAUGCCCUGAAACUCUGGGGCCACACGCGGGCUGCAAUGGUAGUGACAGUGAGUUCCUAAUCCGAAAGGAGGAGGUAAUCUUCAAACGCUACCACAGUUAUGAUUGAGGGCUGCAACUCGCCCUCAUGAAUAUG
Molecule: ribosomal RNA, 1193 nt
Filed under: uncultured archaeon
Lineage: Archaea
Description: bacterial SSU rRNA
Rfam family: Archaeal small subunit ribosomal RNA
Source: RNAcentral